ACUAGAUGGCGACCGGCGCACGGGUGAGUAACACGUAUCCAACCUGCCGAUAACUCGGGGAUAGCCUUUCGAAAGAAAGAUUAAUAUCCGAUAGUAUAUUAAAACCGCAUGGUUUUACUAUUAAAGAAUUUCGGUUAUCGAUGGGGAUGCGUUCCAUUAGUUUGUUGGCGGGGUAACGGCCCACCAAGACUACGAUGGAUAGGGGUUCUGAGAGGAAGGUCCCCCACAUUGGAACUGAGACACGGUCCAA
This 250-nucleotide ribosomal RNA is filed under the name uncultured bacterium. RNAcentral describes it as "partial 16S ribosomal RNA". It matches the Rfam family "Bacterial small subunit ribosomal RNA", at positions 83 to 334 of the family's 1533-position model. The record is from RNAcentral.